CGGUGUUCAACUGGCGUGCCCGCGGGACGUCCUGCCGGUGAGCUCAGCCCGCGAGGGCGGCUCAACUUGAAAUCCCAUCGCGGUGCUCUUCAUUGAGUGUCGAAGUGGGCCGGCACGAUUACUUUUGAACAAAUUAGAGUGCUUAAAGCAGGCUAAAAUUUUGCCUGAAUACUGUGUAUAUGGAAUAAUGGAAUAGGACCUCGGUUCUAUUUUGUUGGUUUUCGGAACCCCGAGGUAAUGAUUAAUAGGAACGGAUGGGGGCAUUCGUAUUGCGACGUUAGAGGUGAAAUUCUUGGAUCGUCGCAAGACGGACUAAAGCGAAAGCAUUUGCCAAAAACGCUUUCAUUGAUCAAGAACGAAAGUUAGAGGUUCGAAGGCGGUCAGAUACCGCCCUAGUUCUAACCAUAAACUAUGCCAGCUAGCGAUCCGCCGACGUCCCUCUGAUGACUCGGCGGGCAGCUUCCGGGAAACCAAAGCUUUUGGGUUCCGGGGGAAGUAUGGUUGCAAAGCUGAAACUUAAAGGAAUUGACGGAAGGGCACCACCAGGAGUGGAGCCUGCGGCUUAAUUUGACUCAACACGGGAAACCUCACCAGGCCCAGACACUGGAAGGAUUGACAGAUUGAGAGCUCUUUCUUGAUUCAGUGGGUGGUGGUGCAUGGGCCGUUCUUAGUCGGUGGAGCGAUUUGUCAGGUUAAUUCCGAUAACGGACGAGACUCUGACCUGAUAACUAGACGCACUUGCGGCAUCUCAAAGGUCCGCCGGCGGCUGGCUUUGCGCCCGUCGUCGCGCGCGAUUUUUACUGCCGGCGUACAAUAAAUUCUUCUUAGAGGGACAAGUGG
This 840-nucleotide ribosomal RNA is filed under the name uncultured eukaryote. RNAcentral's name for it is "SSU rRNA". It matches the Rfam family "Eukaryotic small subunit ribosomal RNA", at positions 635 to 1426 of the family's 1831-position model. The record is from RNAcentral.